CGGACGGGUGAGUAACACGUGGAUAACCUACCUAUAAGACUUGGAUAACUUCGGGAAACCGGAGCUAAUACCGGAUAAUAUUUUGAACCGCAUGGUUCAAAAGUGAAAGACGGUCUUGCUGUCACUUAUAGAUGGAUCCGCGCUGCAUUAGCUAGUUGGUAAGGUAACGGCUUACCAAGGCAACGAUGCAUAGCCGACCUGAGAGGGUGAUCGGCCACACUGGAACUGAGACACGGUCCAG
RNAcentral lists this ribosomal RNA (241 nucleotides) under uncultured Staphylococcus sp. RNAcentral's name for it is "partial 16S ribosomal RNA". It matches the Rfam family "Bacterial small subunit ribosomal RNA", at positions 99 to 334 of the family's 1533-position model. The record is from RNAcentral. Lineage: Bacteria; Bacillati; Bacillota; Bacilli; Caryophanales; Staphylococcaceae.